CUCUUCUAAAGUUUGCACUUCAGUUUGUUUUCUGUCUCUUGUUUAAUUUUUCACUCUAAGUUGUAGAUUGUAGCAAUGAUCAAGGAUUAUUUAUGGCCAAAUCCGCUUACAUAUUUUAAAUAUUUCUACAAUUUGACUAAGAAGAAACUGAAGGAUCAUGAAGAUGAGGAGGAUGUGGGAAAAGAUGAUGAUGAUGACCAAGAGCAUGACGAAAAGGGGGAAGAAUAGUGUAAAACGCAUGAUGUUGACAUUACUUGGUUUUAUUUAUUUAUUUAUUUAUUUUAAGGUUAUUGGAGUAUGUUAGUGAUCUGUAGGGUAGGGGCUAAUGAAAGACCAAGGCCAGUUGCUGGUUCUCCUCUGGCUGUAACAUAUUUAUUUGUCUUUGAAGUGAUUUCUGGUUUUAUUUA
This is a long non-coding RNA of Trifolium pratense (red clover), 407 nucleotides long. RefSeq lists it as uncharacterized. The transcript has 3 exons. Lineage: Eukaryota; Viridiplantae; Streptophyta; Magnoliopsida; Fabales; Fabaceae. The record is from RefSeq and is a predicted model, not a curated record.